RNAcentral lists this ribosomal RNA (600 nucleotides) under Cupriavidus taiwanensis. RNAcentral's name for it is "bacterial SSU rRNA". It matches the Rfam family "Bacterial small subunit ribosomal RNA", at positions 208 to 793 of the family's 1533-position model. The record is from RNAcentral. Lineage: Bacteria; Pseudomonadati; Pseudomonadota; Betaproteobacteria; Burkholderiales; Burkholderiaceae.
GGGCCUUGCGCGAUAGGAUCAGCCGAUGUCUGAUUAGCUAGUUGGUGGGGUAAAGGCCUACCAAGGCGACGAUCNAGUAGCUGGUCUGAGAGGAUGAUCAGCCACACUGGGACUGAGACACGGUCCAGACUCCUACGGGAGGCAGCAGUNGGGGAAUAUUGGACAAUGGGGGCAAGCCUGAUCCAGCAAUGCCGCGUGUGUGAAGAAGGCCUUCGGGUUGUAAANGCCCUUUUGUCGGGAAAGAAAUCCCGUGGGCUAAUACCCGGUGUGGAUGACGGUACCCGAAGAAUAAGCACCGGCNUAACUUCGUGCCAGCAGCCGCGGUAAUACGUAGGGUGGGGGCGUUAAUCGGCGGGACACUGCGUCGUGAGGGCGCGUAGGGGGUUGGUAAGACCGGCGUGAAAUCCCCGGGCUCAACCUGGGAAUGGCGCUUGAGACUGUCAGGCUAGAAUGUGGCAGAGGGGAGUAGAAUUCCAGGUGUAGCAGUNGAAAUGCGUAGAGGAGAGGAGGAAUAUCCAUGGCGAAGGCAGCUCCCUGGAACAUGAUUGACGCUCAUGCACGANAAGCGUGGGGAGCAAACAGGAUUAGAUACCCUGGUAG